UGGGAUAACUUCGGGAAACCGGAGCUAAUACCGGAUAAUAUAUUGAACCGCAUGGUUCAAUAGUGAAAGACGGUUUUGCUGUCACUUAUAGAUGGAUCCGCGCCGCAUUAGCUAGUUGGUAAGGUAACGGCUUACCAAGGCAACGAUGCGUAGCCGACCUGAGAGGGUGAUCGGCCACACUGGAACUGAGACACGGUCCAGACUCCUACGGGAGGCAGCAGUAGGGAAUCUUCCGCAAUGGGCGAAAGCCUGACGGAGCAACGCCGCGUGAGUGAUGAAGGUCUUCGGAUCGUAAAACUCUGUUAUUAGGGAAGAACAAAUGUGUAAGUAACUAUGCACGUCUUGACGGUACCUAA
Molecule: ribosomal RNA, 356 nt
Filed under: Listeria monocytogenes
Lineage: Bacteria; Bacillati; Bacillota; Bacilli; Caryophanales; Listeriaceae
Description: bacterial SSU rRNA
Rfam family: Bacterial small subunit ribosomal RNA
Source: RNAcentral